CAGAUCCUCCCCAGUAAGGGUAAGACUGGACAUAUUCACUAUCAUGUAACCAUGUUUGUAGAAGCCAAAAGUGUUCAGGUGGACUUUCUGCCGAAUGUCAUCCUGAAAGAAUAACCAUUCCUUUAAGAGGCAAAGGAAGGGUCGAGGUGUUUCAGGACGCCCCCAACCAGAUGGAGGCUUCCAGCGACGAGGACGUGGAUGCCAGUGGCAUCUCUUAGCGGAGCGGCUUUGGCUGUCACGCUGGGCUUGACGGGGAUGACCCUCUUGUCCGGGUGUGCCAAGACAGAGUCCCUGCCCUGGCUGAGCCACUGGAGGGCGCUGAGGAUGCAGGGGAAGACUAGGGUUUUGCUGCAGCGCUCGGCUGCCACCAGUGGGAGAGCGUCGCGGGAGAUGAGCAGCUGGGCUCCAGGCUUCUCUUCCUGGCCGUUGAGCAGGCGCCAGCUCCUCUGGUUGUCCAGGCAACGGGUGAGUGUGUUGGAGUUGUUCUAUUGAACUGACCUUUCGCCAUAAUGGGGCUUGGCUGGAAGCCAGCGGCCGGCGACACGCCUUUACUCUCGUCAGCGGGGGAAGGGAUGCUCUGGUCUACAGGAGAAGAGUAGAAGAUGAGGAAUACACAUGACCUGAAAUCACCAGACAAUCAAACCAUACCAUGUCCAAUAAUCUCACACCUGUAUACACCCAGGUUGUUCCUUUACCCUACCACCCACAGACCAGCUUCAAACACUCACUCCGACCUACCAGGAAGGCAGCGUCUCUGUAGCCAACUGUGGCUGAGCUGCAGGGCAAGGGAGGCGUUGGAGCGCUGGUGGUGGCCAGCCAGGCCCAGACGCAGAGGUCCUGAGUCAGCAGGGUACUCCUCCAGUUCUGGGCACACCCAGAGAGGACACUGAGGAGGAGGAAGAGUCAAAGUUAUUCAAGGACAGUCCAAGGGAUAGAUAUCAACGAUCAUAAUUCACAUCAAAGUCCAAUAUUAUGCAAUUGUUUGUGUUACCCUGAAAUGUAACAUUAUUAAACCAUUUGCUCAUUUACUGCUUGCAUAUAUCAUAGAAUUCUUACGAGGCUCUUUGAAACUGUCAUAUGCCCGCCCAGGAUAGUUUUUUUUUUUCAUUAAACGACUGAGGAAACUUCUGCUGACUUUUUAAAAGGACAUUUUACUCAAAUUAAUAAAGUGGGGCACCACUGCUAAAUAAAUACAGGGGAAACAUUGUGCUCAUACUUGAUUAUAGGCCAAGUAUCUACAAACAGUCUACAGACAAUGUUGUAUCUUGUUUUAUGACUUCUUUAUUGGCUCACCCCAAUCUCCUUUGCUCUCUCUUUGAGAACCAUCAUAGGGCCGUCGGGUUGCUUCACAGUGAAGGCAGGAACUCCUGGCUGAGGAGACACAAGAAAUAAUUAAAUAACGUCAGUAACUCCUGUUUAUUUCAGCAUAGUCAAAUGUUAGCACUUGUGGCUUUCUUGGUGUUUUACUACAUGCAUUAAACAAUCAUGUGUCAAUUGAGGCUACUUUGUAACAUUCUAGAGGUGGUGUUCUGAAAAUGUUCUGAGUCAGAAUGUAUCAAAAGUGCAGCCUUGACAAAGCAAGAGUUAAACUGUACUGCAAUCUAACCUUAAAAAUGCCCCCUUUCUGCCAGGCAAUUUUCUCGAUGGUAUCCCCCAGUAUUGAGGUGUGAUCUAUACCCAGGGAGGCGAUGCCACACACCCACGGCCUCCUGUCAGAGGAGGACAUACAGAGCAUAGACUACAGAGUUCAGUGGACUCAAUGGAUCUUCACACAAAAUAACUUUGUUUAUACAGCAGGGAAAGUGAGAGUGAGAUAAAUGGUCUGUAAGUUACUGCAUGAAUUACAUUUUUUAUCAGAUUUCAUGUUAAAGGUAGACUCUAAAUGACAUAGCCAUGUGGUAGAAGUGAGCGACACGCAACACUCUGAUCUCACAUCAUCCGAGCAUGUGCACGGGUUCACUUCACGCUGUUAGAGCGUGGUAGCCACGGGAACAAAACAGAGAAGUUGAGCCUCGUGUUUCAAUGCUCUUAGUGGUCGCGGAAAAUGACCCACUAGGUGGUUUACUUUCUGCAUCUACAUCAUAGCGCUGAGUCUACCUUUAACUAGUUUGUAUUAGCUACUUGUUUUGGAAGUGUAACCAGCAGGUGAAGGGUGAGAACAGAAAUGAACUGCAUGUCAGAUCUGCCAGUUCUCGUGUUGGUGACCAUCUAAUGUAGUACUAGCUCUGAUCUGACCAUGGAGAGGUCCUACAGGCGAGAAUGAUUUGUAUCUCAAUUAUGGGAAAGUACAGGGGCAAGUCAAAUUAAUAAUUUGUUCAGCGUAGAAAAUGUAUUCCAUACAUAGUUAGUAGAUAAGCAUAUCAAACCUGAAUGCUUGUGCCUACGUCGUACAUCUUUUGAAAGUCUUUAGCUCAUUAAAAAAAGGUCUGUUCUCAACAACCCUCUUCAAAUAGCACCCAAUGUCUCUCUCGCUCUAUCAACUAACAAUAAAUGGAGACCUUUCAUUGCAAAAUGGGGCUGCUGACAAAAUGGAAGGCUUGACGAGACAGUCAGUCACGCUUUGUUAAUGAGGUCGCACCAUAGGACAAAAUGGUUGAAGGGCUUGUCAAGUGAGUUCAGUGAGACAUUAGGCACACAGCAGUAGUCACUAGAGACUUUGGAACUGAGCCAGGGGGUACAGUGAGGGGAAUUAGGGUAUGCUGCAGAGGGGGAUUCCAUGAGAGGGAAUGGUUACAUCAGCUGCAGCAUCAUCAUAGAGAUCUAUUUCUAAUCAAAUUAAAGGCGAUUACGGACCAUUGAACUAAAUCCUGUUUGUUUCCCAUCCCAUAGGAUCCAAUUCCAUGCUUCUUACCGGAUUAUGUUUGUGCAGUCGUAGGCUCCACCAAUCCCAACUUCAAUCACUGCCAAGUCCACCUGCAUCACAAGACAAUAUGGGUGGCUGAGCUCAACCCACAUUUCUAUUCAGUCAUUUCAAGAGGUCAAUUGAAAGAAUUGAUAAGUGCCACUUUUUUUAUUUUACCAAGAAGAAUUGAGUCAUGAAAUGUAAUUAACUUCCUGAUUUGAUGAGAGUCGAUCUGACCCUGUGACAGAUAGGCCAUAAAUCUCAGGAGAUUGUUUACCAGGAGAUUGUUUACCAGUACAGGGUGUGACUCAUUAGUAGCCAUGAAGAUGCCACCACCAAUAUAAAAGGUCACCACUAUGCAUUAGUGUCUGCAAAACAUGAGGGGCCCCUUGUCUCCUUUUUCAUGCCAAUCCUAUCAGGUGUGUGAAGAAAUGAACAAGGACUGAAGGGAAAGGGAGCAACCACCAGUCCCAGACACCCCAGCAACGCUGCACAGGGACACCAACAGAGG
Long non-coding RNA from Salvelinus namaycush (lake trout), 3353 nucleotides. RefSeq lists it as uncharacterized. The transcript has 3 exons. Lineage: Eukaryota; Metazoa; Chordata; Actinopteri; Salmoniformes; Salmonidae. The record is from RefSeq and is a predicted model, not a curated record.